RNAcentral lists this unclassified non-coding RNA (296 nucleotides) under uncultured fungus. RNAcentral describes it as "partial contains small subunit ribosomal RNA, internal transcribed spacer 1, and 5.8S ribosomal RNA". The stretch from base 1 to 73 matches the Rfam family "Eukaryotic small subunit ribosomal RNA", at positions 1759 to 1831 of the family's 1831-position model. Lineage: Eukaryota; Fungi. The record is from RNAcentral.
CCAAACUUGGUCAUUUAGAGGAAGUAAAAGUCGUAACAAGGUCUCCGUUGGUGAACCAGCGGAGGGAUCAUUACCGAGUCUCGAACUCACCAAACCCCUGUGAACAUACCAGUGUUGCUUCGGCGGUCGACCCCUCCGCCCACCCCUCACCGGGCUGGGCGGCGUGGUUCCGCCAGAGGACCAUAUCAAAACUCUUGUUUUUUCCCAGAAAGGAUUCCGCUCUGAGUAAACCAAAGAAAACCAUUAAAACUUUCAACAACGGAUCUCUUGGUUCUCGCAUCGAUGAAGAACGCAGC